UGGGUCUGGGCCUGCCACAGUUUGACGUCUUGUAGCUCGCUGGAGGACCUGAGAUGAACUAACUGCAUAGUUGGGCCAGAUGGUGUGCGUAAGACUACAAGGCACAAGAUGGUGCUGAAGAUAUUGCUUUCAUCUACUCUGAUGGCGUUGUCAAGAGUUUUCAGAGGUGGCCAUCUUGCGGAAAGGUAUUGUUAGGUUACUAUUUAUUUCUGCAAGGGCUUAUCCCAAUCAUCCUAUGGAUAAAAGCUUUAUAAAUAUCUGGUGAAAACCACCUUCUCAUGAAAACUCUCAAAAUCAUGUGUACAAGUACUAAAAACUUCUAAAAUGUGCAUGUAUGAUGAGGUUAUUACUUAUAAACAGCGGAGUUUUCAUGGAGAGGGUGGUUUCCACUGGGCACUGGAUAUCUUCCUGAGGAUAAAUCAUUAUUGAUAUAUUGAUUAAGCUGAACUAUGUGUAUAUUGAUUGAACCUAUCCCAUGGGGAUGCUAAACAUUUCUGCCAAGAAACCAACCAAACAGAAUAUUGAAAUAGAUGGCACACACAUGAGAAGCUUUGACCAGCAUCUGAUGAUAGUUGGUUUAAAUUGACUAUUACUCAGAAUACUGUUUCUACAUAAAAAUCAUCAAGAUAUACUAUUCUAAUGGUGGGCCAUUAAUUUUCACUGCUUUUGAAUAUAAGGUCUUCUAGUUGAUAAGAGGUUCUGCAGUUUUGGAAGCAUGCCAUGUUUCUGAUUCAUGUUCGGGCACAUGGGCAGUACACAUUAUGCGAUCUACAGUAGACACAAAAACAUACAAGAUAGUUCUAAAACACGAUGAUAAAUUUAUUUUACUUGGAAGGCGCACCUCAUGAACAAGGCCGGUCGCCUUGCGUUCAUGAGGUGUGCCACAAAAACAUACAAGAUAGUUCUAAAACACGAUGAUAAAUUUAUUUUACUUGGAAGGCGCACCUCAUGAACAAGGCCGGUCGCCUUGCGUUCAUGAGGUGUGCCACAAAAACAUACAAGAUAGUUCUAAAACGCGAGGCGGCCGACCUUGAAUUUAAUAUUGUGUCCUCACUGAUACUCCCUCCGUCCCAAAAUUCUUGUCUUAGAUUUGUCUAAAUACGGAUGUAUCAAGUCACGUUUUAGUAUUAGGUACAUCCGUAUCUAGACAAAUCUAAGACAAGAAUUUUGGGACGGAGGGAGUAGUAAUUAUGAGCACCACUGAAUUGACACAUUUUGAUAAUAUUCCAUAUGUUGGUUCUAUCCAUUCUUCAACCCAGUGAAUUAGUUGGCAUUUUUAUUGCUGCUACAUAGGUUCACACCAUAUGGUUAUAACUGAAUGGCCUCAACAUUUACUUAUCUUAGCCAUACGCAUCUCCCUAUGUAGCUUUACUAAUUCAUGCUUUCCUGUCUUCAUGUUAGGUUAUGACAGCACCGUCUAACCAUAUUUUAUUCAAUUUAUAUGUUUCUACUGUUUAAUUUGUCUAAUGUUUGGUAAUGACAAUCAAUGCUAAUCAUGCUCUUUGUGGGUGUUAUGAUGUUUUAAUGUUUGGUAAUGAGGACAUUCUCUAAUGAUAUUCCUGUUUUAAGGGUUUACGCUGUUUUAAGAAUCUUCAGAGGGUACCCUAGCACUUCUUCCUACGACAACUAUGCCAUGCAUGAUCGCUUGUGGAAUAUGUGUCAACCAAGGAGUAUGCUAGACUAGAGGAAAUUACAAUGCUGUGCAAGGUAGAUGAAGAUCUUUGAUACGUAUCAUUAGCUCCAAAGGAGGCUCAUUACAGUGAACCUGUACUUCGUGCAUCCCAAAACCAAUAGUAAAGAAUCAAAUCUCUCUUGCCUGUGGACCUUGUUGGUUGUUUACAACAUGAUGACAAAUUUAUUUUACUUAAUAGAAAGGUUGAAGAAAAUGAUAGUAGCGCAUAAACUUGCCCGGUAAUCUGUUCAAGUCAUUUGUGUCUUUGGGUACUCCCGGUUAGAGUAAUAGAAACACAUAGGGCCUGCCACACUCUAUUGGUGAACAGAUACAUCUUAUGUACCUCAUCUUGACUCCUGAGAACACCAAAAUCAAGUGUCUGCCACUGCCAGAGCUAAGUCAAGUUGCAUAUGAUGAAGGUCAGAUGUCCCAACUGUUUUAGUGAAUCAGCUCACAGGGUGAAGUUCCUCGCUGAUAUAUUGCAUCUUUAACUAUACCUGGAUAGUUUGAACUUCUGCAUGCCAUGUGGAAUUGGGGAAUUAUCAAAUCCCCAAAGAAUGUGCAUGCUCAAGGUUGGUAGUGAUUCAGGUAGUUGCAGAACUGUUGACUUGGUCAAGCUUAGAGGGUUAGAUGUGACCUACGCAUCUCAUGAAUUGAGAAUAUUGCUUGAGUGCAUAUACUUAUAGAAGAUAGCAUCCAGAUCAAAAGGGCAACCUGGUGCAUGUAGCUCCCGCUUGCGCAGGGUCCAGGGAAGGGUCCGACCACUUUGAGAAGCAUCCAGAUCAAAGAUAAAAGAAAAUCAAGCUCAUAAGAUCAAAGACAAAUACUCAUAUAUGCUGAUGACUGUUGAGGCAUCUAUGCUAUGUUAGAUAUUCUUAAACAUCAUAGUGACCACGAGUAACUAGUUAUCAUUGGUCUUUCUGCCCUCGGUUUUCCUUAUUGCAUGGGAAUCGUUACAUACUUAGCUUCCUUUUUACUGUUGAAUGCUUGUGAGAAUUGUAAUGAACCGACUUUCUUCGUCAAUUGCUUUGUCUUGAACAUCUUUUGAUCCAUCACUCGCAGGCAGAAAAUGUGAGAUCAAUGUUUCUUUUACAGAUAUGGUGAUACUGGCUACAGUGGCCGUGGAUCCAGCAUAACAGAGUCUUUCUUAUGUUGGAGAUACUGAAGUUCACAAACAUGGUGUGUUUGGGAACAAUGGGAGAGGAAACUGAAGCCACAAAUUCCCCUUCACUUCAGCAUCUUGCCAUUCUGACAUGCUAGCAAGCCGCAGGUCUUUCAAAAGAUUCAGGCACUGGAAAUCCAUGAGCAAAAAAUAAUUUGUGAACAUCUGCUUAACUCAGCAAGUUUCCCAGCCCUCCAAAUUAUUAAAAUGGAGGGUUUCUGUGGUGGUAAUCAUCUCCUGCAGCUGCUAUUAUUUCAGACAAAUUCCACAGGUUUAGUGUUUACCAGACAUCCAGCAAUGUACUUCAGAGAAAACAAUGCCCUGUUGCAAGUGGCCUUGUAUAAAUAGACAGAGGGAGUAUUUGGCAAUGACUAGUGUUUCUUUCUACUUAAUACAUGUAAUGAAGAAUGCUCCAACUUCUUUAUCUGUUUUAGAGAAAAUCAGCGGACUGGUUUCGAUCCAAAUAGGUCAUGAGCAUGAGACUGAUCUUGUUUGCAUAGAGUAAUGAUUAUGAAGCUGGAUACAUUGGAUAAAGCAAGCAACAAAAUGUAAAUAGUAAUGUAAUUUUUUGAGAAUAAUGUAAUAUUAAU
This 3424-nucleotide long non-coding RNA is filed under the name Triticum aestivum (bread wheat). Its description in RNAcentral is "long non-coding RNA (TAES_LNC021165)". The stretch from base 1054 to 1188 matches the Rfam family "MIR1120/MIR1122 microRNA precursor family". The record is from RNAcentral. Lineage: Eukaryota; Viridiplantae; Streptophyta; Magnoliopsida; Poales; Poaceae.